Non-coding RNA from Cinara cedri, 235 nucleotides. NCBI's taxonomy places the organism in Eukaryota, Metazoa, Arthropoda, Insecta, Hemiptera, Aphididae. The record is from the annotation of a GenBank genome assembly.
AUUUAUGUUAUUUUUUGUCAUCCUUAUUUUUGGGGAUAUAACCCCUAUCUAUUUUUUAUUCUCCAAUGGCAACCAAUAUUACAAAUUCCAUAAAUAGAUGGAUUAUUGAUUAAAAUACAUUUUAGUGUUGACACUUUUGAUUUCUGUCGAUCCGUUUACGAGAUAUUCCACUUUUAAUUUUGGGUUGGAGGAAAGUAGUAGAUUAUCAUUUGUGUGGCGUUAAGGCCUGUGGCGA